GUGCUUGCUUCGGCAGCACAUAUACUAAAAUUGAAAUGAUACAGAGAAGAUUAGCAUAGUCCCUGAGCAAGGAUGACAUGCAAAUAAAAAUUUAAAAAUAAAAU
Molecule: small nuclear RNA, 104 nt
Organism: Macaca fascicularis (crab-eating macaque)
Lineage: Eukaryota; Metazoa; Chordata; Mammalia; Primates; Cercopithecidae
Source: Ensembl